Molecule: RNA transcript, 975 nt
Organism: Oncorhynchus masou masou (cherry salmon)
Lineage: Eukaryota; Metazoa; Chordata; Actinopteri; Salmoniformes; Salmonidae
Gene name: homologous-pairing protein 2 homolog
Exons: 6
Source: RefSeq, a predicted model, not a curated record
UGCAUCACGGCCGCGCGAAACUCGAUCUGUCAAUAAGCAUAAGUUAGAUAGCGAUAGUUUAUAGCUCACGGAAUAAAUAAAACAUGAGCAAAAAAGACAACGGAGGUUUAACAGUCAUAUUUGCUUACCUAAACGAGAAGAACCGUCCUUACAGUGCCCAAGAUGUCUUUAACAAUUUACAGAAGCAGCACGGCCUGGGAAAGACGGCUGUGGUUAAAGCCAUGGAACAGUUGGCACUGGAAGGGAGGAUCAAAGAUAAAACCAAUGGGAAGCAAAAUAUCUACUUUGCUGAUCAGGCACAGUUUGCAGAGGUGAGUGAGACAGAUCUGAAGGCCAUCGACAGUCGCAUCUCUGACCUCAGCACACAGGUGCAGGCCAUCUCCCAGGGCUGCAGACAGCUGGACGCAGGGAGCAUCUGGAGAAGAUUAAGUCAGCGACCAAUCAUGUCACACCAGAGCAGAAGAAGAUGGUAUGGGUCACAAUCAGACCAGGGUUCAAAUACAAAACACUCCCCCCUCCCCCAUAUACUGUGCUCAUGCGUCUUUCUUUCAGGUUUACAAGGAGAGACAUCUCUACGUGAAAGAGUGGAAGAAGAGGAAGAGACUGGUGAUUUAUUUAUUUUAGGGCUCUAAUUCCAGCUGUAUUGCUGACAUGUUACGGAUUGCGUGAUAAAAUGUAAAGGUUAUUUCCGAUCAAGCAGACGUGACGUUUACAGUGAAUGCAGUCUCCGCCAAACACAGGAACAUUGCCUUACACGCUGUACUUCCGCAAUCUGGAUUGAAUAGAGCCCUUAUUUGAUCAAAGUCGUACGAGUAUUCGUGUCAGAGCAGGACAAACCAGAACAAAUAGUCUGCAUCUGUCUCUGCUCCUCUCAGGUAGCUGAUAUGAUGGGUUCCAUUUUGGAGGGAUACCCCAAGACCAAGAAGCAAUUUCUGGAAGAAGUUGGUGUGGAGACUGAUGAAGACUGUAAAGUGA